This is a long non-coding RNA of Triticum aestivum (bread wheat), 576 nucleotides long. RefSeq lists it as uncharacterized. The transcript has 3 exons. The record is from RefSeq and is a predicted model, not a curated record. Lineage: Eukaryota; Viridiplantae; Streptophyta; Magnoliopsida; Poales; Poaceae.
UAUCGAUCGAUCGAGGGAGGCACAGCCACCAUGCGUGCACAUAUAUAUAACCAUAUAUCUUAGCUACAUAUGUAGUUGCAUGCAUAGCUCGAACGAACAAAGGAUCAAUCCGAGAUCGAUCGAUCCGUCGAUAUGGAGAACGGACAGCCGCAGCCUCCUCCAGGCUACCCGACGGUGGACCCGAAACAGCAGGCAGGCGGCAGGAGGAGAUGCUGCUGCGGGCCGUGGCGCCGCAGGACCAAGCAGCGUGGGCGUGGGGAGACCAGCUUCAUCGAAGGAUGCCUUGCCGCGCUCUGUUGCUGCUGGCUUUGCGAGCUGUGCUGCGAUUGAAGGGGAUCCAUGCAGCAUGCAUGCCCACGGUUACAGUCUUACAGGUCACCACAGGCUCUAGCUGCGGCUCUACGUCGUCGGAGCUCUCACAUAAAUAAUUCAGUCUUGCUCUGUUAGAUGUUCUACGUCAUGACCUAGUCCUUUGUGAUCUAGUACAAUACGCGUAGUUAUCUUGCAUCGUAUCAAGGCCCUGUAUCUUUUGUAUCAUCAAAUUAUCUCAUUAUCUGUAUUCGACAUAUACUUAUA